GACAGAGGGUGCAAGCGUUGUCCGGAAUUAUUGGGCGUAAAACGUCUGUAGGCGGUUCUUUAAGUCUAAGGUCAAAUCGCUGAGCUCAACUCAGCUUCGCUUUAGAUACUGAAGAACUAGAGUGCGUUAGGGGUUAUUGGAAUUCCCGGUGUAGUGGUGAAAUACGUAGAUAUCGGGAGGAACUCCAGUGGCGAAAGCGAAUAACUGGGGCGUAACUGACGCUGAGAGACGAAAGCGUGGGGAGCAAAAAGG
This 252-nucleotide ribosomal RNA is filed under the name uncultured bacterium. RNAcentral's name for it is "partial 16S ribosomal RNA". It matches the Rfam family "Bacterial small subunit ribosomal RNA", at positions 524 to 776 of the family's 1533-position model. The record is from RNAcentral.